UACGUAGGGUGCAAGCGUUAAUCGGAAUUACUGGGCGUAAAGCGUGCGCAGGCGGCUUUGCAAGUCAGAUGUGAAAUCCCCGGGCUUAACCUGGGAACUGCAUUUGUGACUGCAUGGCUGGAGUGCGGCAGAGGGGGAUGGAAUUCCGCGUGUAGCAGUGAAAUGCGUAGAUAUGCGGAGGAGCACCGAUGGCGAAGGCAAUCCCCUGGGCCUGCACUGACGCUCAUGCACGAAAGCGUGGGGAGCAAACAGG
Molecule: ribosomal RNA, 253 nt
Filed under: uncultured bacterium
Lineage: Bacteria
Description: partial 16S ribosomal RNA
Rfam family: Bacterial small subunit ribosomal RNA
Source: RNAcentral